This 468-nucleotide ribosomal RNA is filed under the name uncultured bacterium. RNAcentral describes it as "partial 16S ribosomal RNA". It matches the Rfam family "Bacterial small subunit ribosomal RNA", at positions 28 to 507 of the family's 1533-position model. The record is from RNAcentral.
GACGAACGCUGGCGGCGUGCUUAACACAUGCAAGUCGAACGGAACGGCCCUGCCUUUGUGGGGUGCUCGAGUGGCGAACGGGUGAGUAACCCGUGAGUACCCUGCACUUGACUUUGGGAUAACUUAAGGAAACUGGGGCUAAUACCGGCUAGGAGCUACUGCUGCAUGGUGGGGGUUGGAAGGUUUAGGCGGUUGGGGAUGGACUAGCGUCCUAUCGGCUUGUUGGGUGGGUAGUGGCUUACCAAGGCUUGGACGGGUAGCCGGCCUGAGAGGAUGACAGGCCACGUUAGAACUGAGAUGCGGCCCGGACUCCUACGGUAGGCAGCGGUGGAGAAGGGUGCACAAGGGGCGGAAGCCUGAUGUAGCAACGCCGCGUGCGGUGAGACGGCCUGCGGUUUGUAUACCACAGUCGCCUGAGACGAGGCGUGAGUGACGGUAAUGGGUAAAGAAGCACCGGCUAACUACGUG